GACGAACGCUGGCGGCAUGCCUAAUACAUGCAAGUCGAACGAACCAUCCUGAAGAUUGAAGCUUGCUUCAUGAUUCAGACCUUGGUGAGUGGCGGACGGGUGAGUAACACGUGGGUAACCUGCCCAAAAGUGGGGGAUAACAUCUGGAAACAGGUGCUAAUACCGCAUAACAACUACUUUCACAUGAUCGUAGCUUGAAAGAUGGCUCUGCUAUCGCUUUUGGAUGGACCCGCGGCGUAUUAGCUAGUUGGUGAGGUAAUAGCUCACCAAGGCAAUGAUACGUAGCCGACCUGAGAGGGUAAUCGGCCACAUUGGGACUGAGACACGGCCCAAACUCCUACGGGAGGCAGCAGUAGGGAAUCUUCCACAAUGGGCGAAAGCCUGAUGGAGCAAUGCCGCGUGAGUGAAGAAGGUUUUCGGAUCGUAAAACUCUGUUGUUGAAGAAGAACAUGCGUGAGAGUAACUGUUCACGUACUGACGGUAUUCAACCAGAAAGCCACGGCUAACUACGUGCCAGCAGCCGCGGUAAUACGUAGGUGGCAAGCGUUGUCCGGAUUUAUUGGGCGUAAAGAGAAUGUAGGCGGUUUAUUAAGUUUGAAGUGAAAGCCCUCGGCUCAACCGAGGAAGUGCUUCGAAAACUGGUAAACUUGAGUGCAGAAGAGGAAAGUGGAACUCCAUGUGUAGCGGUGGAAUGCGUAGAUAUAUGGAAGAACACCAGUGGCGAAGGCGGCUUUCUGGUCUGUAACUGACGCUGAGAUUCGAAAGCAUGGGUAGCAAACAGGAUUAGAUACCCUGGUAGUCCAUGCCGUAAACGAUGAGUGCUAAGUGUUGGAGGGUUUCCGCCCUUCAGUGCUGCAGCUAACGCAUUAAGCACUCCGCCUGGGGAGUACGAUCGCAAGAUUGAAACUCAAAGGAAUUGACGGGGGCCCGCACAAGCGGUGGAGCAUGUGGUUUAAUUCGAAGCAACGCGAAGAACCUUACCAGGUCUUGACAUACCAUGAAAAGCUAAGAGAUUAGUCUUUCCCUUCGGGGACAUGGAUACAGGUGGUGCAUGGUUGUCGUCAGCUCGUGUCGUGAGAUGUUGGGUUAAGUCCCGCAACGAGCGCAACCCUUAUUAUCAGUUGCCAGCAUUCAGUUGGGCACUCUGGUGAGACUGCCGGUGACAAACCGGAGGAAGGUGGGGACGACGUCAAAUCAUCAUGCCCCUUAUGACCUGGGCUACACACGUGCUACAAUGGUCGGUACAACGUGCUGCGAACUCGCGAGGGUAAGCAAAUCACUUAAAACCGAUCUCAGUUCGGAUUGUAGGCUGCAACUCGCCUACAUGAAGCUGGAAUCGCUAGUAAUCGCGGAUCAGCAUGCCGCGGUGAAUACGUUCCCGGGCCUUGUACACACCGCCCGUCACACCAUGAGAGUUUGUAACACCCAAAGUCGGUGGGGUAACCCUUCGGGGAACUAGCCGCCUAAGGUGGGACAAAUGAUUAGGGUGAAGUCGUAACAAGGUAGCCGUAGGAGAACC
RNAcentral lists this ribosomal RNA (1519 nucleotides) under Companilactobacillus crustorum. RNAcentral describes it as "bacterial SSU rRNA". It matches the Rfam family "Bacterial small subunit ribosomal RNA". Lineage: Bacteria; Bacillati; Bacillota; Bacilli; Lactobacillales; Lactobacillaceae. The record is from RNAcentral.